CAGUAGCCGCGGGAAUACGUAGGUGGCAAGCGUUGUCCGGAAUUAUUGGGCGUAAAGGGCUCGCAGGCGGUUUCUUAAGUCUGAUGUGAAAGCCCCCGGCUCAACCGGGGAGGGUCAUUGGAAACUGGGAAACUUGAGUGCAGAAGAGGAGAGUGGAAUUCCACGUGUAGCGGUGAAAUGCGUAGAGAUGUGGGGGAACACCAGUGGCGAAGGCGACUCUCUGGUCUGUAACUGACGCUGAGGAGCGAAAGCGUGGGGAGCGAACAGGAUUAGAUACCCCAGUAGUCCCUGUCUCUUAUAC
Molecule: ribosomal RNA, 301 nt
Filed under: uncultured bacterium
Lineage: Bacteria
Description: partial 16S ribosomal RNA
Rfam family: Bacterial small subunit ribosomal RNA
Source: RNAcentral